RNAcentral lists this ribosomal RNA (437 nucleotides) under uncultured Candidatus Brocadia sp. Its description in RNAcentral is "bacterial SSU rRNA". It matches the Rfam family "Bacterial small subunit ribosomal RNA", at positions 383 to 810 of the family's 1533-position model. The record is from RNAcentral. Lineage: Bacteria; Pseudomonadati; Planctomycetota; Candidatus Brocadiia; Candidatus Brocadiales; Candidatus Brocadiaceae.
GUGACGAAGCGACGCCGCGUGCGGGAAGAAGGCCUUCGGGUUGUAAACCGCUGUCGGGAGUUAGGAAGUGCAAGGAUGUUAAUAGCGUUCUUGCUUGACUAAGGCUCCGGAGGAAGCCACGGCUAACUCUGUGCCAGCAGCCGCGGUAAUACAGAGGCGGCAAGCGUUGUUCGGAAUUAUUGGGCGUAAAGAGCACGUAGGCGGCUGUGUAAGUCGGUUGUGAAAGCCUUCCGCUUAACGGAAGAACGGCAUCCGAUACUGCAUAGCUUGAGUGCGGGAGGGGAGAGUGGAACUUCUGGUGGAGCGGUGAAAUGCGUAGAUAUCAGAAGGAACACCGGCGGCGAAGGCGACUCUCUGGUCCGUAACUGGCGCUGAGUGUGCGAAAGCUAGAGGAGCAAACGGGAUUAGGUACCCCGGUAGUCCUAGCCGUAAACGAU